UUUUUAUUAUAGUAUGUGAGUAAUUAAGAUUGUUCUAUUUAAAACAAUAUCUUAGACGCCAAGUUCGGAAAAGGUUUGACCUUGUUAUUUCGAACCGAAACACAUAACGUACAAGUGAAAAUAAAUAUUGACGUAUGCAAGUGUCCUAAUACAUCUAUUUAAAACAAACACCGUAAAUAUUUAUAUAUAACAUUUAUAAGCAAAAAAAUAUAGAUCACAAUACAUAUUGGUUUAGUUCAAUCAAUUCAUCAUUAUGAAGCAAUGCCAUAACAAUUUUAAAUAUCAUUGUUAUACGCAUAUAUUCGAUGGCAAAUUAGCAGUGAAGGAUAAUUGGAUAAAAUCAUAAAAUUUUCUCAUUUAUAACAUACAAAAAUAAUAGGAUUAGAAGAUUUUGCGAUUAUUCUAGUGUUUAAUACGAGAAAAUAAUAUUUUUCUUCAAGUGUAAAUAAUAUCUAUAUUAUUUUUGGCAACAGAAAUCGUAGAAAUAACCUAUUCUUUUACUAGUAAAAUAAUGAACGCUCAUUAUUGUACUAGUAACAAAAUAAUGAGAAACGAUAGCAACGUCUUAUUAUGAGCAUUGUAACCAAGUAGCCAAUUUUUAUUCAAUUUGAUGUUUGUCAGUUUUGAAACGUGUAUUGUGAAAAUAUCUCAAGAAGAAGAAUUUCAAUGUACACCUCGGCUUGAAGAAAAAAUAGUAUAUAUCACUCGGAGUAGAAAACCCAUUAUAUCUGGGAAUCUGGUCUCAACAAAAAUAAUAGCUUUCUCACUCCUAGUAACAUAAUGUACUAUUUGUUUAUGUCAUCAAAUUAGUGCAGUGCUCAUUUAUGUUUUCCAAUGAAAAGCAAUAAAAGACACCGAAGAAAAGUUACGUAAAUAUUAUCCUAAAAGUGCUUUGUCCCAUGAAAUGACAAGUGGAUAGAGUUAAAAUUUUUUUCUGUGAAGUGAAUGAGUGAAAAAGGACAGUUGUCAGUAGUGUGGUAAUAGAACAUACUUGGGGUGUGAUAAAAAUAUGGUAGUUUAUUGCAUUGGGAACAUAGUAAAAAGUUACAAGAGAUCCAAACGUAGCAUGGUGCCAAUUGUGGUGAGUGAGGUAAAUGUGGAUAGACAGGAACUUUUUUAAUAGGCUGUGACACGUGCUCACAAUGAAAAAGAAAGCCAUUGACCCAUUUUCAAUUAACUAAAAAUUGAAAAUAGUCUCAUUUUACUGAGGGUAUCUGACACGAUAUGUAGAGUAAAAUAAUUUUUUCAUAUUGUAGGUAUACUUUUUACGAUUUUUUGUUCAUUUUCUGAAUAAUAUGCCCACGAAUGUUGUUAUCCCGAAAAAUGGAAAGAAUGAUAUACAAAUAUUGUAAUCAAUUAACAAAGUAAGUUUUAAAUAUCGAAAUGUAAAACACUUUUCUUUACCAUUCGUACAAGGAAUUUCUAAAUCAUUGUAACAUUCUUUCUGUAAAUGAGAAAUUAAUAAAUAUAUUUGUCAAAAUAGAUUAAAAAGAUCAUUUAUUCAAGAAGUUAUAAGAAUUUCCAUUGUUGACGAAAUUCAAGAAAAAUUCAUUUAAAUGAAUCUAUAUAUUCUUAUAAUAAGAAAGUUUCGUUUGGAUGAUCGUUUAUCACAUUUUUUUUUUCAUUACUUCGCGAUACAAUUUUGAGGUACUGAGACACCUCAAAUUCUGAUCAAACUUGGGUUUGAUUUUACUUUGAGGCGAAUUUAAUUUAUUUGGUGAUAUUUAGAAUUAGAAUCCAGUUAAUGACUUAGAAUCCAUAUUAUUUAUAUUAAAAAUUUGAUAUUUUCACUAACCUUUAUUGUUAAAUUUCCAGAUAUGGCAUCUAAAAUGAAAGUGUCGUUGUCAAAAUUUUGAUUAGAAGGUCCAAUAAUAACAUUAUUAUCUAAAAUCCAGUAUUCAAAUGUGUGAUUCAAAUCACUGCUUUUACAAGCUAUCACUAAUGUUUGUCCAACAGACACUUCCAGAUUAAAAUACCCUGUCCUAUUAACAUUUCCAACUACAACACAUUUAUGUAACACGUAUGGGAGAACAACAAAUAUAUAUAUUUUCCACA
Diorhabda sublineata is the source of this 2055-nucleotide long non-coding RNA. RefSeq lists it as uncharacterized. The transcript is spliced from 2 exons. Lineage: Eukaryota; Metazoa; Arthropoda; Insecta; Coleoptera; Chrysomelidae. The record is from RefSeq and is a predicted model, not a curated record.